UGCGUAGGCGGCGUCGUAAGUCAGAAGUGAAAGCUCACAGCUUAACUGUGAAAUUGCUUUUGAUACUGCGGUGCUUGAAUUAAGUUGAGGUUAGCGGAAUGUGACAUGUAGCGGUGAAAUGCAUAGAUAUGUCAUAGAACACCAAUUGCGAAGGCAGCUGGCUAGGCCUAUAUUGACGCUCAGGCACGAAAGCGUGGGGAGCGAACAGGAUUAGAUACCCUGGUAGUCC
Molecule: ribosomal RNA, 229 nt
Filed under: uncultured bacterium
Lineage: Bacteria
Description: partial 16S ribosomal RNA
Rfam family: Bacterial small subunit ribosomal RNA
Source: RNAcentral